UUAGCCCUGCAUUUGGCUUGAAGAUACUGGUGGCCUGGUACACUUCCCCUAAACUUUCCUGUGACUGAUGGCCUACACCUCAUCCCAGGCUACUGCCUAGCAGUAGCAGCUUCUUCUUCGUAACAUUUUGUAUAUUCUUAGGGUUUUUCUCCUCCGUUGAAGUGUGCUGCACAUUUCCUGCUCCUCGUUCUGCAGAAGGGCUGUGACACCAGAUUGUGAUCAAAGCCGUCUCCGUAUAUCCUGCUGUUUGGAUUUUUGAUGGGGUGACCUAGAAUUGAUAGUGACUUACCUUACUGGGAAUUUAGUGGUUGUGAUGUUCAUGAUGUAUUGGAUUUUGGUGACAAGUGUGAUGAAACUACUGAAAGAGCUGAAUCUUCUCAGAAUCGUCAAAUAAGCAGCAGUGAUGAAUUUAAUUUGUGAACUUGGCCAGGUCACAAAACCAAAUAUAAUGUUGUUGAGAAAAUAUUCAGGCCAGGAGACGCUGUCUGGGGACGUUCAUCCACCUGACACAAGUUUGUUCGAUGCCACUCCAAUGACUUGUGCAUCUCUGGGAUGAGGAUUAGAUGAAAUUGUUAGAACAGCACAAACAUCUCGUCCCUGAGUGAAGAAAAUCUGUCAACUGGCCAGGAAUCGAGCCCGGAACUUCACCAUGUAGAGGCAGCAAUGUUAACAACUAGCUGUGGAAAACUGUAAGGCCCAGCAUUUGUGGGAGAAAUGGUAUGAUGGAGGAUACCUUAGCCAGAGCCCAGAUAUUGUGAACUGAGAGAGAACUUGUGAAUAUGCCAGUCUUGUUCAGUGUGGUAUGGGAAACAGCCAUUGUCAAGAUUGAGGUUAAAUCUUUUUAUUGAGUAAAUCAGAUGUGUUUGUCUGGAGGGAACAUUGCUUGUGAAAACCAAUGGUCCAGUAUUGAGCCUUGGCCAGUUGCAAAUGGUAAUUAGCAGGCAAGGUCUUCACCACAUUCAAAUUAUUACAGCGCCUUCUGUCAUGUAAAAGACUUGCCACAAACUGUGGUUAAUUGACCAGUUUGGGCAAAUCCUUUAUGUGUUGGGAGGUGCUAAAGUUGCGUUUAUAUCAAAAUGAAGAAGAGUGAUGUGAUUUUAGUUAAAUGAACUGUAGCUACUUGGAAUAGAAGUUGCAAGUUGUAUGUAAACAAUACAUUGUAUUUUUAACAUACUUAACCGAUAUAGUUUGUUUCAUAGUAAUGAAAAGAGCUGCAAAAUUUAUACGUACAUACAUAAAGCAUCCUCCAAGUGUCUGGGAGGAGCUGCAGUUAAGCCCCUCCCUUCCUCCCACACACACAGUAUCCAGGCUGACCUAGUACAGACAACUUGUAAGGCAGAGAAGCAACAAGGAAGUUGAAGCCAAGUUUCAAUGUAAUGCAUUCCACAUGCCUGUAGUGGCUUGUGAAGCAAUGUUUAUUUCUACUUCCAGAACAGUCAACAUGAAGUGCAUUUUGUGUGUCAGAAUACUAAAUAUUUGUCUUUUAAUUUUGAAUGUAAUCUCUGUCAAGUAGUAUGUAGUAUUAAUUGUGAAGACAUUUAAAAGCAGUUGACAGACUGGUUUUUGUUUCUACAUAUUUGUUUGAACCAAGUGGCAUACAGGAUGACAUCUGUUUAGAGACAGUGAAAAUGCACUUGUGAAGAGGAUUUUUUGUACAGCAUACCUUGGUAUCCGAAGGAUUUCCCACAGACUGCAAAUAAGAGUUCAGUCUUGGGAGGUCCUUUGGUUAUGAGUGUGUGCUCAGGUGACACUUGUAAGUGAAGGAAAGUCAACUUCUGGUUUUUCUGGAUUUCUUGAAGUAUUCGUGUUCUGACUACUGAUCAGUGGUUAGUGUCACAGUAUUAUUUCUGUAUUCAGCCUUAAAUUGCUCUGCAUCAUGAAUGGCAAUAAAAUGGUUGUAAUUGCUCA
Molecule: long non-coding RNA, 1908 nt
Filed under: Schistocerca americana (American grasshopper)
Lineage: Eukaryota; Metazoa; Arthropoda; Insecta; Orthoptera; Acrididae
Description: uncharacterized LOC124555611, transcript variant X2
Source: RNAcentral